This 620-nucleotide long non-coding RNA is filed under the name Parus major (Great Tit). RNAcentral's name for it is "lncRNA (ENSPMJG00000004977.1)". The record is from RNAcentral. Lineage: Eukaryota; Metazoa; Chordata; Aves; Passeriformes; Paridae.
AUGAGAUUUGCUUUUCUUCUUCUUCCGUUCUGGGGGAUGUGUCACUCUGCAGGAGCACAUGUGUGUGUCUGCUUGGAUCACAGCAACAUUUUACUGCAGAAGAUGGAGGGCUUGCCACAGCCAUCUGGAAUAUUGCUGGCUCCAGUGCUUCCAGGGGAAAAACAUGGACAAAAUGGAUUUUCCUCUGCCUGCUGGCAGAUGUCCAGGCUUUAUCCUUCAUUCAUCCCUGAGCCUGCUCUGCCCUCUCCCUGUGUCACUGAGUCCAGGGAUGCUCUGACCCAAGGCGCGACAUGGGACCGGCACGGUGAUGCCUUUGGCUGGGAAUCAGCUGCUGUCCCUGCAGCUCUGGGGGCUCCACCUCGGGGGUUUUCAUCUGCCAAGGCUCUGUGGAGAGAGCAGUGCCUAAAAUUAGACUGUGAGUAACGCCUGGGCCCCACCUCAGCAGUGAAACCUCGGUGAGAAAUGAAAUGUCACCGUGUCACUGACAUUUGCACCUCUCCCUCCGCAGAAACUCCGUGUCCUGCAGAGCUGGGGCUGUGCAAAGUGUGUGAAACCCUCCCUUCCCCAUUGCUCUUCCUGCUGUCUGCUUCAAAAUGGCAAGUGACUGUUCCAGCUGUGAG